GGCUGCCCACUGCUCCUAGUGGUUGGAUUGCGUCUAACUGUAACUAGGAUGGGUUAAUUGCAGAGGACAUAUUUCGCUGUAUGUAUAUGUACAAUGACAAUAAAGGCUCUAUACUUACUUUAUUUACAUCA
Thalassophryne amazonica is the source of this 131-nucleotide long non-coding RNA. RefSeq lists it as uncharacterized. The transcript is spliced from 3 exons. The record is from RefSeq and is a predicted model, not a curated record. Lineage: Eukaryota; Metazoa; Chordata; Actinopteri; Batrachoidiformes; Batrachoididae.